Molecule: ribosomal RNA, 495 nt
Filed under: uncultured bacterium
Lineage: Bacteria
Description: partial 16S ribosomal RNA
Rfam family: Bacterial small subunit ribosomal RNA
Source: RNAcentral
AUGAACGCUGGCGGCGUGCCUAAUACAUGCAAGUCGAGCGAACAGACGAGGAGCUUGCUCCUUUGACGUUAGCGGCGGACGGGUGAGUAACACGUAGGUAACCUACCUAUAAGACUGGGAUAACUUCGGGAAACCGGAGCUAAUACCGGAUAAUAUUUCGAACCGCAUGGUUCGAUAGUGAAAGAUGGCUUUGCUAUCACUUAUAGAUGGACCUGCGCCGUAUUAGCUAGUUGGUAAGGUAACGGCUUCCAAGGCAACGAUACGUAGCCGACCUGAGAGGGUGAUCGGCCACACUGGAACUGAGACACGGUCCAGACUCCUACGGGAGGCAGCAGUAGGGAAUCUUCCGCAAUGGGCGAAAGCCUGACGGAGCAACGCCGCGUGAGUGAUGAAGGUCUUCGGAUCGUAAAACUCUGUUAUUAGGGAAGAACAAACGUGUAAGUAACUGUGCACGUCUUGACGGUACCUAAUCAGAAAGCCACGGCUAACUACGUG